Molecule: ribosomal RNA, 153 nt
Filed under: Funaria hygrometrica
Lineage: Eukaryota; Viridiplantae; Streptophyta; Bryopsida; Funariales; Funariaceae
Description: 5.8S ribosomal RNA
Rfam family: 5.8S ribosomal RNA
About the family: 5.8S ribosomal RNA (5.8S rRNA) is a component of the large subunit of the eukaryotic ribosome.
Source: Rfam by way of RNAcentral
AACUCUCAGCAACGGAUAUCUUGGCUCUUGCAACGAUGAAGAACGCAGCGAAAUGCGAUACGUAGUGUGAAUUGCAGAAUUCCGCGAAUCAUCGAGUUUUUGAACGCAAGUUGCGCCCGAGGCUCGUCCGAGGGCAUUCCUGCCAGAGCGUCA